AUCUAUGUUGUUGCAGUUGAAAAUCUCGUAGUUGGAUUUGAGGUUUAGGGAUAUGGUCUCAUCUUCGGAUGUUGUACUGUAUUUCUUUAUCUUUUACAUGAGAAGGUAUUCUGUUCUUUAUUGGAUGGUUUAUUGACUCAUGUCUUUUACUUUGAAAAAAUUAGAGUGUUCAAAGCAGGCUUAUGCCUUGAAUACAUUAGCAUGGAAUAAUAAGAUAGGACUUUUGUCUAUUUUGUUGGUUUUUAUGGACUGAAGUAAUGAUUAAUAGGGGCAGUUGGGGACAUUAACAUUUAAUUGUCAGAGGUGAAAUUCUUGGAUUUAUUAAAGAUUAACUACUGCAAAAGCAUUUGUCAAGGAUGUUUUCAUUAAUCAAGAACGAAAGUUGGGGGAUCGAAGACGAUCAGAUACCGUCGUAGUCUCAACCAUAAACUAUGCCGACGAGAAAUUAGUGAAUGUUUAUUCAUUGACUUCAUUAGCUUCUUCCGAGAAAUCAAAGUUUUUGGGUUCUGGGGGGAGUAUGGUCGCAAGGCUGAAACUUAAAGGAAUUGACGGAAGGGCACCACCAGGAGUGGAGCCUGCGGCUUAAUUUGACCCAACACGGGAAAACUUACCAGGUCCAGACAUAAGAAGGAUUGACAGAUUGAGAGCUCUUUCUUGAUUUUAUGGGUGGUGGUGCAUGGCCGUUCUUAGUUGGUGGAGUGAUUUGUCUGCUUAAUUGCGAUAACGAACGAGACCUUAACCUACUAAAUAGCUACGUGAAACCUAGUUUCAUGGCCAGCUUCUUAGAGGGACUAUAUAAGUCAAUUAUAUGGAAGUUUGAAGCAAUAACAGGUCUGUGAUGCCCUUAGAUGUUCUGGGCCGCACGCGCGCUACACUGACGAAUUCAACGAGUUUUAACCUUAACCGAUAGGUUUGGGUAAUCUUUUAAAAGUUCGUCGUGCUGGGGAUUGACAAUUGCAAUUAUUUGUCAUGAACGAGGAAUUCCUAGUAAGCGCGAGUCAUCAGCUCGCGUUGAUUACGUCCCUGCCCUUUGUACACACCGCCCGUCGCUCCUACCGAUUGGAUGAUCCGGUGAAGUCUUCGGAUUUUAGUUUAAUGAUUGGUUUCCAAUUGUUUUACUUGAAGAAGUUGAUUAAACCUUAUCAUCUAGA
Molecule: ribosomal RNA, 1151 nt
Filed under: metagenome
Description: bacterial SSU rRNA
Rfam family: Eukaryotic small subunit ribosomal RNA
Source: RNAcentral